GUACUCGCUUCGACAGCACAUAUACUAAAAUUGGAAUAAUACAGAGAACAUUGACAUGGCCCCUGCUACAUGCAAAUUUGUGAAAAUUAAAUUU
Molecule: small nuclear RNA, 94 nt
Organism: Callithrix jacchus (white-tufted-ear marmoset)
Lineage: Eukaryota; Metazoa; Chordata; Mammalia; Primates; Cebidae
Source: Ensembl